Molecule: long non-coding RNA, 264 nt
Filed under: Gossypium barbadense (sea-island cotton)
Lineage: Eukaryota; Viridiplantae; Streptophyta; Magnoliopsida; Malvales; Malvaceae
Description: long non-coding RNA (GBAR_LNC016493)
Source: RNAcentral
AGAAAACUAUAAAUUAUAAAAAUUUUCAAAAAUUAUAAAAACAAACGGGCAAUUUAUCAAUUAAAGCCUUUUUUUCAAAAAUUACCGAAAUAGGCCUAUUAUUUAAUUAUUUACUGGAAUGGUCCAUUUUUCGCGAAAUCGCGUCUACGUCAGCGCGAGUUGCUGACAUGGCAACAAAUCACGCCCUCAAGGACGCGAUUUGACCCGCGUGUAAACAGUGCUCCAACGGUAAAAAAUUUGACCGUUACCCCCCCAACGGUAAAA